GGGAGAGGAGACCAGUGAGGCCUGGAUCAAAGGAGGGGCCUGUGGACCACCUGGACUUUUCAAGCACAUGUGCUCUAUAGCAAAAGUCACACACACACAAAAAAAAAGGAGUGUGGAAACGUGGAACAACUUCUCUGAUGAAGGAGUGAGCCAAGCCACAUGGAUUUGUGGAUGGCAGCGUGGCUGGUGCAAAGGUCCUGAGAUACAAGAAGGAAACUUUCUUCAAUGCCCCACUGACUCAUCUGAAAGCUUGAUCAAUAAACUGAAUUAGCC
Tupaia belangeri chinensis (Chinese tree shrew) is the source of this 273-nucleotide long non-coding RNA. RefSeq lists it as uncharacterized. The record is from RefSeq and is a predicted model, not a curated record. The transcript is spliced from 3 exons. NCBI's taxonomy places the organism in Eukaryota, Metazoa, Chordata, Mammalia, Scandentia, Tupaiidae.